This 253-nucleotide ribosomal RNA is filed under the name uncultured bacterium. RNAcentral's name for it is "partial 16S ribosomal RNA". It matches the Rfam family "Bacterial small subunit ribosomal RNA", at positions 524 to 776 of the family's 1533-position model. The record is from RNAcentral.
UACGGGGGGGGUAAGCGUUGUUCGGAAUUACUGGGCGUAAAGGGCUCGUAGGCGGCCAACUAAGUCAUACGUGAAAUCCCUCAGCUUAACUGGGGAACUGCGUGUGAUACUGGAUGGCUUGGAUUCGGGAGAGGGAUGCGGAAUUCCAGGUGUAGCGGUGAAAUGCGUAGAUAUCUGGAGGAACACCGGUGGCGAAGGCGGCAUCCUGGACCGAGAUUGACGCUGAUGCGCGAAAGCCAGGGGAGCAAACGGG